This 490-nucleotide ribosomal RNA is filed under the name uncultured bacterium. Its description in RNAcentral is "partial 16S ribosomal RNA". It matches the Rfam family "Bacterial small subunit ribosomal RNA", at positions 30 to 507 of the family's 1533-position model. The record is from RNAcentral.
AUUGAACGCUGGCGGCAGGCCUAACACAUGCAAGUCGAACGGUAACAGGAAGAAGCUUGCUUCUUUGCUGACGAGUGGCGGACGGGUGAGUAAUGUCUGGGAAACUGCCUGAUUUAGGGGGAUAACUACUGGAAACGGUAGCUAAUACCGCAUAAUGUCGCAAGACCAAAGAGGGGGACCUUCGGGCCUCUUGCCAGCGGAUGUGCCCAGAUGGGAUUAGCUAGUAGGUGGGGUAAAGGCUCACCUAGGCGACGAUCCCUAGCUGGUCUGAGAGGAUGACCAGCCACACUGGAACUGAGACACGGUCCAGACUCCUACGGGAGGCAGCAGUGGGGAAUAUUGCACAAUGGGCGCAAGCCUGAUGCAGCUAUGCCGCGUGUAUGAAGAAGGCCUUCGGGUUGUAAAGUACUUUCAGCGGGGAGGAAGGGAGUAAAGUUAAUACCUUGGCUCAUUGACGUUACCCGAAGAAGAAGCACCGGCUAACUCCGUG